Molecule: long non-coding RNA, 2662 nt
Organism: Nicotiana tabacum (common tobacco)
Lineage: Eukaryota; Viridiplantae; Streptophyta; Magnoliopsida; Solanales; Solanaceae
Source: RefSeq, a predicted model, not a curated record
UGAAUUACUUUUAGUUUUCCGCCAAAACAAACGCGCCAAAACAGGUUUCCUUAUUCUAUUACUUUUUCUCCAAAUUCUUAGCCCACAAUUUUAGUUUCCACUGCAGCUAGGUUUUCUCUUUUCUUAUUCUGCUAAACUAAGUUCUUGCGUGUAUUCCAUUCUUCGAUCUCCAUCGCUGUGUUCUACCCAAAAUCUGGAUAAGCUGACAGAAAUUGUUUCUGAACAAAUUCAAGAAGUGGAAGAGGGUACUGAUGUGGACCCUAUUGUUAAUGCUGCUUUUGUGAAACUUAUUGGUGAAAAGUCAGGAUAAUGCCGCGAUCAAGGAUCGGGAGUCAAGCCAGCUAGUAAGAGAUCUAUGCAUGUAACUCAAGAGCAGCUGCAAGCACAACAGAAGGAGGUGAAAGAAGAACGCCAUAAACAAGAGAGCGUAGAGUGCAAAUUAAUAGAAGUGGAAAAUCAACUUGAUGAGGAGCGGAAAAAACGAGAAGUCAUGGAAGCUCGUCUAUUGAGUGAUCAAAAAAUGUUAAAACAGGGCAUGAUGGCAAUAGUAUCCCAUAUAUAAAGUUCCGAGGUAUUUAGUUUGUUUAAGACGUUAAAAUUUCAAUUACUUGCUUUUGAUCCUAUGAACAAUUAUAUUAAACUACUUGAGAAUAAAAGAGAUAGCAUCACUUUUCAUGGAAUUGAAGCUAACAAGUGCAUCACUUUAUCCUUAGGUUUGAAUUUUACUCUUUUAUAAGGAAAAAUUAGUCAACUGUUCUGUUCAAUUUUUUCAGAAUGAUUAUGUUACUAUCCUAUCAUUUUAACUUCCAGUGAAGUGAAAUAUUCAUCUCUAAACCUUCUAGCCUGGUAGUUUGCUUUUCUUCAUGAAUUAUUAUUAUUUUUUUUUUUAAAUUGUUAAAAAGGAAAAUCCUUUAGAGUUUCUGUUUCAGGCCUCUAUGUAGAGUAAGAGAAUAUUUAGGUUAAAAUUGCUUGAAUUUUAGUAAAAUUUUUCACCAAGUGAGAGAUUAAUGAAGUUCAAUCAAAAUGUUGGUGCUCUACCUGAUCUAGCUGCUCAUUUGCUUAAGCUUUGGCUCUGCUUUGGUCUAUUCAUAAAUAGAUAUACACUUUAGGCAUGUAUUUCAACUUGGAACAUAGAGUUGAUUCUUGAAUUCAGUGGAUGUCUCAUUUCUUUUUUCUCGAGGCUUUGCUAAAGUAAAUGAUAUAUAUCCUCAUUAUUGUAAUUGGGUAGUUUUCAUACAUUAGAUGGCAAAUUUUUACUCCAAAUCUUUAACUUUAAAUUCUUUUUAACUAAUUUCCCUAGCUAGGAUAGACCUUGAGUGAGAAUGCAGAAAUCUUAGUUGGUACCUGUUCCAUGUUCUUAUUUUUAUUGUACUCUAGUCCAUUUUAGCUUAAAUAUUCAUUCUAGUCCUUUUCAGCUUAAAUAUUCCUCUGAUUUCAACUAAUAUAUAAGUUUUAGUCCCCCUACAGAGAUGCCAUAAUUUUACAUUUGAAAUUCAAUAGAACAUAACACUAAGCACAUAAUGGUCCUAAAGCACAUGAAAGUGAAUUUUCUAUUUUCAGUUAUAAUAGAAACUAAAGGAGCAGUAAUCUAGAUGUUGUGUCUUUAUUUGAAGCUCUGAAAACUAUUGUGUUCUGCUAAAGAAAACUUGUUCUUGUGUUUUUGAUAUUAUAAAUUAGUUUCUUCUAGGUUCUAUCAUGUUUAAGUUUAGUUUAAUAGGCUGGACUUCCUGCUGCAAUUUUUGACAUGAUUGCUAAUUUAAAUGGUUCGGAUGAGACAAGUCCUACAAGUCUUAUGGAUGGUACCAUGGUAAGUAAACUUAUUCUAUUUCAUGUGAAAGUAAGUUUCUAUUUUGUGUGUACUGUUUUUCAACUAUAUAUGAGUAUUGUCUAACAUAUAUAAUCAACUAAGACAAUUUAGUUGGAUUUGAGUUUUCUUUUACGUACUACAGUAUGGCUCAUGACCACAUUUCAUCCACUUAGACUUGGUUUCCUAUCUCCUUAGAACACAAGGAUAUAAGAGCCUAUAGAACAAAUCCUGUUUAAGCAAGUCCAAAAAAGAAAAAGCCCAAGGAAUUUCCCCAAAUAGAAAAUGUUAGCCCAGUAAGAAAGAGAAAGAAACGAGGUAAAAUAUAGAGUAUUGGGAUUUUCUUUAAUACCGUGGUUGCCCCUCUCUGUUCACCAUUGAUUUUCCUCCGUUGUCAAAAAAUCAACAGCAUCAUCUCUGUCUUUACUUUGUGUUUGUGUGUGAGUUAUUUAUUUGGCAUGGUAUUUGAAUCUUCAAUGUAGUUAAAUAAUCAAGGACUCUAAAAAUAUAAUUUAGGAGCAUGAGAUUUUGGACUGAAAAAUGUAUACACGUUUUCCUCUUUGAUCUUUUUCUUGUCCCACUUUUCCUCAAUUCCUCUUAUGCAGUUAAACAAGUUUUCAGUGGUUUUAUUUUACACUUUUGUAUUCUAUUGCUUCUUUUUAUCAAAAUCUAAUUAUAUUUAUCUUCUUUUUAGGAUGAGUAUGUGUAAACAAACAUUCCUGGCAAUCCCGUUCAUGUAAUGCACAAGCUGUUGAAAGAAGAUUUAUUUUUCGGGUUACUAUUGUAAUAUAACUUAAAGACCGUGGAUAUAUGAUGCUUUUGUUCGUUUUGUUAGUAAAAACAUAAUUUUUAGGACUA